This 407-nucleotide ribosomal RNA is filed under the name uncultured bacterium. Its description in RNAcentral is "partial 16S ribosomal RNA". It matches the Rfam family "Bacterial small subunit ribosomal RNA", at positions 30 to 526 of the family's 1533-position model. The record is from RNAcentral.
AUUGAACGCUGGCGGCAGGCCUAACACAUGCAAGUCGAGCGGCCCGGCGGACGGGCGCGUAAGGCCUAUAAAUCUGCCUGGUAGUGGGGGAUAACGUCCGGUAACGGGCGCUAAUACCGCAUACUCUCAGAUGAGCCUCGGCCGGAUUCGCUAGUUGGUGUGGUAGAGGCUUACCAAGGCGCCGAUCCGUAACUGGUCGGAGUGGAUGAUCAGUAUCACUGGGACUGAGACACGGUCCAGACUCCUACGGGAGGCAGCAGUGGGGAAUAUUGGGCAAUGGGCGAAAGCCUGUUCCAGCCAUGCCGCGUGUGUGAAGAAGGCCUUCGGAUUGUAAAGCACUUUAAGCUGGGAGGCGUUACCAGCAGAAUAAGCACCGGCUAACUUCGUGCCAGCAGCCGCGGUAAUUC